GAGUUUGAUCGUGGCUCAGGAUGAACGCUGGCGGCGUGCCUAAUACAUGCAAGUCGAGCGAACGGACGAGAAGCUUGCUUCUCUGAUGUUAGCGGCGGACGGGUGAGUAACACGUGGAUAACCUACCUAUAAGACUGGGAUAACUUCGGGGAAACCGGAGCUAAUACCGGAUAAUAUUUUGAACCGCAUGGUUCAAAAGUAAAAGACGGUCUUGCUGUCACUUAUAGAUGGAUCCGCGCUGCAUUAGCUAGUUGGUAAGGUAACGGCUUACCAAGGCAACGAUGCAUAGCCGACCUGAGAGGGUGAUCGGCCACACUGGAACUGAGACACGGUCCAGACUCCUACGGGAGGCAGCAGUAGGGAAUCUUCCGCAAUGGGCGAAAGCCUGACGGAGCAACGCCGCGUGAGUGAUGAAGGUCUUCGGAUCGUAAAAACUCUGUUAUUAGGGAAGAACAUAUGUGUAAGUAACUGUGCACAUCUUGACGGUACCUAAUCAGAAAGCC
This 503-nucleotide ribosomal RNA is filed under the name uncultured microorganism. RNAcentral describes it as "bacterial SSU rRNA". It matches the Rfam family "Bacterial small subunit ribosomal RNA", at positions 9 to 492 of the family's 1533-position model. The record is from RNAcentral.